Molecule: ribosomal RNA, 465 nt
Filed under: uncultured bacterium
Lineage: Bacteria
Description: bacterial SSU rRNA
Rfam family: Bacterial small subunit ribosomal RNA
Source: RNAcentral
CCUACGGGGCGCACCAGUAGGGAAUCUUCGGCAAUGGACGAAAGUCUGACCGAGCAACGCCGCGUGAGUGAAGAAGGUUUUCGGAUCGUAAAACUCUGUUGUUAGAGGAGAACAAGUAGGAGAGUAACUGCUCUUACCUUGACGGUAUCUAACCAGAAAGCCACGGCUAACUACGUGCCAGCAGCCGCGGUAAUACGUAGGUGGCAAGCGUUGUCCGGAUUUACUGGGCGUAAAGCGAGCGCAGGCGGUCUUUUAAGUCUGAUGUGAAAGCCCUCGGCUCAACCGAGGAAGGUCAUUGGAAACUGGGGGACUUGAGUGCAGAAGAGGAGAGCGGAAUUCCACGUGUAGCGGUGAAAUGCGUAGAUAUAUGGAGGAACACCAGUGGCGAAGGCGACUCUCUGGUCUGUAACUGACGCUGAGGCUCGAAAGCGUGGGGAGCAAACAGGAUUAGAUACCCUAGUAGUC